GACGGGGGGAACCAGUGUUAGUCGUAUUGAUUGGGCGUAAAGGGUGUGUAGACCGCUUUUUUGAACCCGUUAUAAAUCCCACCUCAAUGGUGGAAGUAGCGUUGGUGAUCGUUAGGCUAGAGUUAGGGGGAGGGGGGCGGUACUUCCUAUUUAGGUUUGAAAGCCUGGGAGAUAGGUGGGACCCUCAUUGGCGAAGGCGGCUUUCCCAUCCCUGACUGACGUUGAGGCACGGAGGCGUGGGGAGCAAACGGG
This 252-nucleotide ribosomal RNA is filed under the name uncultured bacterium. RNAcentral's name for it is "partial 16S ribosomal RNA". It matches the Rfam family "Bacterial small subunit ribosomal RNA", at positions 524 to 776 of the family's 1533-position model. The record is from RNAcentral.